Nymphalis io (European peacock) is the source of this 2000-nucleotide long non-coding RNA. RefSeq lists it as uncharacterized. The transcript is spliced from 3 exons. The record is from RefSeq and is a predicted model, not a curated record. NCBI's taxonomy places the organism in Eukaryota, Metazoa, Arthropoda, Insecta, Lepidoptera, Nymphalidae.
UUACGGGAAUAAAGUGCACAAUCGACAAUAGAGUUUUAGAUAAAAGUACCCGUUCAUUUCUUUUUUCUAAAUUCAAAUAAUCCUUUCUAUAUUUUAAUGUGCAUGAAAUUUAAAUAUAUCUAUUUUUUAUGUGUGUGCGUGGGUAUGUACAUUCGUGUUAAUUUUUGUGCAUAUCGAGUAUGUUUAUAAAAGUAACAGACUGAUAUUGGUUAUAUGAGCUGAUGACACCAACUCAAAUUAGCUGUUUUAGUUAGCUAGUUUUAUUUAACAUAUAUAAUGUUAAAGCUAAUAUGAUUGAAAAUGAAAUAUUUGAAUGAUGAAAAAGUUUCGAUACUAUAUAGACAACUUUUUAAUUUAAUAUGAGCCUGAGAUCUGUCUAUAUUUACUCUGUGGCUUAAAAUGAUGAACUACCAAGGGAUGUGAAGGACAUUCAUUGAGUGACUACCGAUCGAGAGUGCGGAUAAUGUGCGUUGCAGAUAGCACAUAAUUCACGACAAUAUUGCUGACAGAGAUAAAAUCACUGCUUCGUUAUAUCGUAUUCAUUCCAGACUGUGUCAGGAAUGAGCCUUUGAAGGGUUAAUAUUACAAGCUUGUUGCGAAAAUUAUAAUCAAACUGUAUGCCUGUUAAAUCAGUAAAGCUAUUCAGAAGAAAAUAAAUUUUUGACACUAUGCGAUAAUGCUGUCUUGACCGUAUGUAGGAAAUUGAAAGUUGUGUUAAAAAUUGACUAAUUUUAUAUCCCAAAAAUAAACUAUACAAAAAACGUUUUGUGAAUAAACUUACUUAUCUUUGAAAUGUAAUGGAACCUUAUUAUUUAAAAAGUUAAAAAUACCUUCAAAGUUAGAAUAAAUAUUAACAAAAUUUGUUGUUUAGAAAAUACCUCGAGAAACUCGAAGCAAAAAUCAUCAGAUACCCUCAUCUUUCUUUGAGUAUAAUACUACAAUAAUAUGAAAAUAGUAUAAUAAUAAUAAUAUGAAAUAAUAAUAAUAAUAGUAUUGAAUAAUGGAAAUUUGAAUCAGUUACAAGGAUAAAAUCUUACUAGAAACAUAUAAACUUAAAGUUCAGCGGAACUGGCGCAAAACGUUUCAAAAGUGUGAUUUAAAAUAUUAAGGAUAAUAAAAUUCUUAAGGGGAAUUUUUAUCUUGGUCAUAAAACGGUAGGAAAUACCAGCUUAAGAUAUUUUCUAGAUGAAAAACUUUGCGGUUUCAAUUUUCCGUGGCCAUUCUCUAUGCAGUCUGUAAUUCCCCGGCGUUUCAUUAUUACAGCAAGAUGCUCGUUACCCCCAUUUAGUUGAAAAAGAAAAACCCAAAGAAAGCAGUUGUUUCAAGUGGAAUGAAAUUCAUAAAUCACUGAUACGGAGAUUGUAGACGGCGCCGUUCGGUUUAUUUCAUGCUCUCUGCAUAUAUAAUGUUACUUGAAGUUUGGAGGAUUACGUCAUACAUGCUUAUAAAUGCUUAUGAACUCCUCAAAGCACAAAACAGUUUAACUCAUUUAAUAAUUAUAAUAAAUAAUGUACGCCUGACCAACUUGCGGCCUCGGCAGCGAAUUUCAAAGAGAAGCCAACUGUAGAGGUGAGGUUCACGGAUUCAACAUUACAGUCAAGUGAAACAAAAGCAACCGCAUUACUGAGAUACCUGUAAAGCUAGGAGGGUACAUGGAAGACAAGACAGUAAGAAGAUAAGUACAACAUAGAAACUACGAUAUUGGAUAUUUUGAAGACCCAAGAGUAGCAGACUAUCUUUUACUAAUUAGUCGUCAUUACUUCAAAUGUUUGCUAUCAUCAAAUUCAUUUUACUCUACUCCAAAUUUAUUAAAUGCAGUACUAAAACUCAAUUCGAUAUAAUGUUAUAGGUGGGUUCACAUAUGAAAAGGCAUGUUGAUCAAAUUAAAAUGAUUACUACUUGUAAUACUCAAUUACAAGGUACUAUAAGUCCAAGUGCCCGAAAUCGUAUGACUACUUCUUGCUCAAGAAACACCAACAGUUAAUGUCCCUAGACCUGGA